This is a long non-coding RNA of Cryptomeria japonica (Japanese cedar), 484 nucleotides long. RefSeq lists it as uncharacterized. NCBI's taxonomy places the organism in Eukaryota, Viridiplantae, Streptophyta, Pinopsida, Cupressales, Cupressaceae. The transcript is spliced from 2 exons. The record is from RefSeq and is a predicted model, not a curated record.
CAUUCUUCUUUUGCAAACUGGUUUCUUUAUAUUCAAGCAAAAGAACAAGUGCCAUAUCCUUUGUUAUGGAGAAUCUGGCACUUGCAGAGAAGCCAUUAAAUUUUCAAAACUUAUAAAGGCAGUUACUUGCAUUUCCCUUUGUUCAACAUGGGUGGAGAUGCAGUGAGAUUUAUAGUUACUGCCACAGCAGCUGUAGCAACUACUUUCAUUUACAAUGGGAUGACUAAGUUUAGAGAUGGUGAGAGGGGGAAAUCUGAUAGACGAGGGUGCAAUGAUGGUAUUAGAGAUGGGCAGAGCUUCUCAAGAGGACAGAUAAAAUUUGCACCAGAGUUGGAUGGCCUCCAUUGUUUUGAAUGUCCUCUCCCCACAACUUGAAACAAAAUUCCUUUAGUUUUCUUUUAAAUAAUUUGAGCUAAUGAGGUUGUUAUAAAUUAUAAACAUGUAAUAGAUAAUGAUAGCCAUAUCAAAUCUGAUGGAAGUUUGA